Molecule: ribosomal RNA, 518 nt
Filed under: uncultured bacterium
Lineage: Bacteria
Description: bacterial SSU rRNA
Rfam family: Bacterial small subunit ribosomal RNA
Source: RNAcentral
CACCUACGGGUGGCUGCAGUGGGGAAUCUUGCACAAUGGGGGAAACCCUGAUGCAGCGACGCCGCGUGAGCGAUGAAGCCCUUCGGGGUGUAAAGCUCUUUCGACGGGAACGAUAAUGACGGUACCCGGAGAAGAAGCUGCGGCUAACUACGUGCCAGCAGCCGCGGUAAUACGUAGGCAGCAAGCGUUGUUCGGAGUUACUGGGCGUAAAGAGUGCGUAGGUGGUGCCCUAAGUCUGUUGUGAAAUCUCCCGGCUUAACUGGGAGGGUGCGGUGGAAACUGGGGUGCUUGAGUGUGGGAGAGGUAAGCGGAAUUCCUGGUGUAGCGGUGAAAUGCGUAGAUAUCAGGAGGAACACCGGUGGUGUAGACGGCUUACUGGACCACGACUGACACUGAGGCACGAAAGCGUGGGUAGCAAACAGGAUUAGAUACCCUGGUAGUCCACGCCCUAAACGAUGCAUACUUGGUGUGAGCCAUUCAUUUGGUUCGUGCCGGAGCUAACGCGUUAAGUAUGCCGC